UACGAAGGGUGCUAGCGUUGUUCGGAAUCACUGGGCGUAAAGCGCGCGUAGGCGGACCUGCAAGUCGGGGGUGAAAGCCCGGAGCUCAACUCCGGAAUUGCCAUUGAAACUGUUUGGCUCGAGUACGAGAGAGGUGAGUGGAAUUCCCAGUGUAGAGGUGAAAUUCGUAGAUAUUGGGAAGAACACCGGUGGCGAAGGCGGCGAGCUGGUCCAUUACUGACGCUGAGGCGCGACAGCGUGGGGAGCAAACAGG
Molecule: ribosomal RNA, 253 nt
Filed under: uncultured bacterium
Lineage: Bacteria
Description: partial 16S ribosomal RNA
Rfam family: Bacterial small subunit ribosomal RNA
Source: RNAcentral